Long non-coding RNA from Scylla paramamosain (green mud crab), 1085 nucleotides. RefSeq lists it as uncharacterized. The record is from RefSeq and is a predicted model, not a curated record. NCBI's taxonomy places the organism in Eukaryota, Metazoa, Arthropoda, Malacostraca, Decapoda, Portunidae. The transcript is spliced from 4 exons.
UAAUAACCAAACAAGGCAGGCAACCAGCGGACGGAGCACGCAGGCGCCGGGCGGGCUUUCGCCAGGCAGUUGUCUGAUAUUCGUUGAGAGAGUUACACGUAAAUACUUUGUUCCGAGUGUUUGCAUACCGCUCAGUAUCAUGACAUUGAAGGCUUUGCUAACUAGAAAAAUCACAUCCAGAAGAACAGCAAAGCGGUAUCAGCAGAAUGAUGCCACAUAAUUUCUUCAACUUCAACGACUCAGUGAUUACCAUGGCGAGACUGUGGCGGAUAGCAAAGGAAGGUGGCGGAGCACAGAACACUUUGAAGCAUUGUGUUCUGAGUCUGCGUGUUUCUUCUUGCUGGUGCACGGAGUAAAUAAACGGAAUCAACUUCUCGUCAAAAGAGGUACAGCAUGAUGUCAGCGCAUUGGUCAGUGUUACCUCAAUCUUUCUUUCUCCUCUCAUCGGCAAGAAAUGAUUUUUUUUUGCACCGCCACUUAUAUUUUCCAUUCCGUUCGACAUGAGCGCGAGAAUGGACUGUAUUUAUCUUUGCAAAUGACGUCCAUUACAGUGCAUGCGAUGUGGUGAUUUCCCAAGAAGACAGUAGUGAUUCCCGAGUAAUUUUGCUUUUGUUGUCAAGGUUUGUUUUUCAUUAUAUUUUCCUUCUGACUGAUAACUUACGAAUUUCCUUCAAAAGGUUUUUAGUUUCAUUUCUCGAUUUUACUUUACCCAUUUGUCUAAUUAUUGUAUACUGCCUCAAAUGGCUCUCAGUCACCUAACUCUCCAAAUAUUCAAGAUUCGCCAUUGGAAUUUACUCUCAAAAUAACUUAUGCAUAGUGUGCCACAGUCAAAUAUCGCUUUUCGGUAUAAAUUAUCAUAUUUGUUAACACUAGUAAUAUAUUAAGUCUUGGGUGCAUUAACCAACGAUUCGUUCAAGUAGUGAUUCUUUCUGGAUUAUCGAAUUAGAAUCAGUGGCUCUGUGCCUAGUAUGGUAAUAUUCGCAUCUUACCUGUGACACUCUUUGUGAGUCGAUAUAACGUACCUACACUGCCUCUUGGGAAGAGUUGUAUUAAACCGGAGGAAGAUCGAUAUGUUACAUGGGAUC